This 465-nucleotide ribosomal RNA is filed under the name Vreelandella stevensii. RNAcentral's name for it is "partial 16S ribosomal RNA". It matches the Rfam family "Bacterial small subunit ribosomal RNA", at positions 338 to 795 of the family's 1533-position model. Lineage: Bacteria; Pseudomonadati; Pseudomonadota; Gammaproteobacteria; Oceanospirillales; Halomonadaceae. The record is from RNAcentral.
CCUACGGGGGGCAGCAGUGGGGAAUAUUGGACAAUGGGGGGAACCCUGAUCCAGCCAUGCCGCGUGUGUGAAGAAGGCCCUCGGGUUGUAAAGCACUUUCAGUGAGGAAGAACGCCUGGUGGUUAAUACCCAUCAGGAAAGACAUCACUCACAGAAGAAGCACCGGCUAACUCCGUGCCAGCAGCCGCGGUAAUACGGAGGGUGCGAGCGUUAAUCGGAAUUACUGGGCGUAAAGCGCGCGUAGGUGGCUUGAUAAGCCGGUUGUGAAAGCCCCGGGCUCAACCUGGGAACGGCAUCCGGAACUGUCAAGCUAGAGUGCAGGAGAGGAAGGUAGAAUUCCCGGUGUAGCGGUGAAAUGCGUAGAGAUCGGGAGGAAUAACAGUGGCGAAGGCGGCCUUCUGGACUGACACUGACACUGAGGUGCGAAAGCGUGGGUAGCAAACAGGAUUAGAUACCCGUGUAGUC